Molecule: ribosomal RNA, 290 nt
Filed under: Listeria monocytogenes
Lineage: Bacteria; Bacillati; Bacillota; Bacilli; Caryophanales; Listeriaceae
Description: partial 23S ribosomal RNA
Rfam family: Bacterial large subunit ribosomal RNA
Source: RNAcentral
UUCUAAGGGCGGUGAAGUCAGACCGGAAGGACUGGUGGAGCGCUUAGAAGUGAGAAUGCCGGUAUGAGUAGCGAAAGAAGGGUGAGAAUCCCUUCCACCGAAUAUCUAAGGUUUCCUGAGGAAGGCUCGUCCGCUCAGGGUUAGUCGGGACCUAAGCCGAGGCCGAUAGGCGUAGGCGAUGGACAACAGGUAGAGAUUCCUGUACCAGUGCUAAUUGUUUAACCGAUGGGGUGACACAGAAGGAUAGGGAAUCGCACGAAUGGAAAUGUGCGUCCAAGCAGUGAGUGUGA